GGCGACUGGUGAGUACGCC
The sequence is a regulatory RNA element, 19 nucleotides long. It matches the Rfam family "Human immunodeficiency virus type 1 major splice donor". The record is from Rfam.